RNAcentral lists this ribosomal RNA (1573 nucleotides) under Alteromonas stellipolaris. Its description in RNAcentral is "partial 23S ribosomal RNA". It matches the Rfam family "Bacterial large subunit ribosomal RNA", at positions 1 to 1638 of the family's 2925-position model. Lineage: Bacteria; Pseudomonadati; Pseudomonadota; Gammaproteobacteria; Alteromonadales; Alteromonadaceae. The record is from RNAcentral.
GGUUAAGUGACUAAGCGUAUACGGUGGAUGCCUUGGCAGUUAGAGGCGAUGAAGGACGUGUAAGUCUGCGAAAAGCUGUGGUGAGCCGACAAAAUGCAUUUGAGCCACAGAUGUCCGAAUGGGGAAACCCACCUAUUUAUAGGUAUCGCUACAUGAAUAUAUAGUGUAGCGAGGCGAACGAGGGGAACUGAAACAUCUAAGUACCCUUAGGAAAAGAAAUCAACCGAGAUUCCCCUAGUAGCGGCGAGCGAACGGGGAUUAGCCCUUAAGCAAUUAUGAACGUAGUGGAAGCCUCUGGGAAGUGGCGCGAUACAAGGUGAUAGCCCUGUACACGAAGUGUUUGUUUUUGUGAAAUCGAGUAGGUCGGGACACGUGUUAUCUUGACUGAAUAUGGGGGGACCAUCCUCCAAGGCUAAAUACUCCUAACUGACCGAUAGUGAACCAGUACCGUGAGGGAAAGGCGAAAAGAACCCCUGUGAGGGGAGUGAAAUAGAACCUGAAACCGUAUACGUACAAGCAGUGGGAGCAGACUUGUUCUGUGACUGCGUACCUUUUGUAUAAUGGGUCAGCGACUUAUAUUUAGUAGCAAGGUUAAGCGAAUAGCGGAGCCGUAGCGAAAGCGAGUGUUAACUGCGCGUUUAGUUGCUAGGUAUAGACCCGAAACCCGGUGAUCUAGCCAUGGGCAGGUUGAAGGUUGAGUAACAUCAACUGGAGGACCGAACCCACUAACGUUGAAAAGUUAGGGGAUGACUUGUGGCUGGGGGUGAAAGGCCAAUCAAACCGGGAGAUAGCUGGUUCUCCCCGAAAUCUAUUUAGGUAGAGCCUCGGACGAAUUCCAUUGGGGGUAGAGCACUGUUAAGGCUAGGGGGUCAUCCCGACUUACCAACCCUUUGCAAACUCCGAAUACCAAUGAGAACUAUCCGGGAGACACACGGCGGGUGCUAACGUCCGUCGUGAAGAGGGAAACAACCCAGACCGCCAGCUAAGGUCCCAAAAUAUUGCUAAGUGGGAAACGAUGUGGGAAGGCAUAGACAGCUAGGAGGUUGGCUUAGAAGCAGCCACCCUUUAAAGAAAGCGUAAUAGCUCACUAGUCGAGUCGGCCUGCGCGGAAGAUGUAACGGGGCUAAGCAAUAUACCGAAGCUGCGGAUACGUGUUUACACGUAUGGUAGGGGAGCGUUGUGUAAGUGGAUGAAGGUGGAUUGAGAAGUCUGCUGGACAUAUCACAAGUGCGAAUGCUGACAUGAGUAACGAUAAUGGGAGUGAAAAACUCCCACGCCGGAAGACCAAGGUUUCCUGUCCCAUGCUAAUCAGGGCAGGGUAAGUCGGCCCCUAAGGCGAGGCAGAAAUGCGUAGUCGAUGGGAAACGGAUUAAUAUUUCCGUACUUAUAUAAUCAGUGAUGGAGGGACGGAGAAGGCUAAGCAAGCUUGGCGUUGGUUGUCCAAGUGAAAGCAAGUAGGCCGAGUGUUUAGGUAAAUCCGGACGCUUAAAGCUGAGAUGCGAGACGAGCUACUACGGUAGUGAAGUUGUUGAUGCCCUGCUUCCAGGAAAAGCUUCUAAACUUAUGAUUAUAU